Molecule: long non-coding RNA, 3151 nt
Organism: Halichondria panicea
Lineage: Eukaryota; Metazoa; Porifera; Demospongiae; Suberitida; Halichondriidae
Exons: 2
Source: RefSeq, a predicted model, not a curated record
ACAUUUGUUGUACAAAUACUCACCUUCGGCGGCUUCACUCUGUAUUUCACGUGGAGUGGAGUGGGGUCAGCAAUGCCUUUGGGUGAUAAAUCAAAUAGUUCCCAGUCACUUUCUGAUAAAUGUGACAGGCUUUGGAGCAGACUACAAUUGUUGAGAUUUAAAUACCAGAUGAUAGAGCAAAGAAUUGCCUAUGCAUUGAUAUGCUUAGUUUGCACAUACCUUUUUUCAUACCUGAGUUAUGCGCGUUGGAAACUCAAUUCUGAAAUAGCGGUAUUGAGAAACGCCCACUUAAAGAUUGCUAAAUUGGGAAAAGUAAGGUAAUGGUGGCUGCUUAGACAAAGCGCUUCGGUGGAACGCGUUGGAUUCAGAGCAUCAGUAGAAAGACUGUAGAUGACUAUAAGCUAAGAAAAAUUAUUAUGAGAUUAUACACUGCCAUUGCUCAAUACCAAUAUCUGCUCCAAUAUGGCCUUUUUCCCACAAAUCAUCAGAACAUAUCACAUUUUCACUAAAAUCACUCAUAUCAACAGCCCAGACUUUCGUACUAUCGUUGUAGAAGAAACUCUUCUGAUCCAUGUUGUUUGUUUAUUAUUAUAGCUGAGGUUUUUCUAAAUAAACCCCAGCUAAAUUACAAUAUAUUUCUCCAAUAAAACGAAUUGUUUUUGGCGGCUCUGCUUAAUUAUUAGCUAGCUAGCUAGUCUGCCUGGAGUCUGACUGUAGCUGUUCUGCCUCGCCAUGAGUCAGCUGAAUAUGAGUGGGGAUUUGUUUAGUAGGAGUGUUUAGUAGGAGUGAACAAUCCUCCAAGUCCUUACACCAACAAGGCGACCAUUGUCAGAGCAUUCGUCAGGUGCCCACCAUCGGCAAGAGAGCCUGGCAGAUGUGAGUAAUAGCUCUUGAGUGAACUGCAGAAAACUAAUGCCCGCUUAGAAGAGUUUGGAAACACUUUGAAGUCGAUGGAGCAACGACUUGAAUCUAUUGAGUCAAUCGAUAUCACCAGUAGCUCAGUCGAUGGAGCAAUGACUUGAAUCUAUUGAGUCAAUCGAUAUCACCAGUAGCUCCUUUAAAAAGAGAAAGAAAGUUGUUCCUGUCAAAGCUUUACAUGUAUAUACUCAGCCAUAAUGACAACGAUCACAUUGAAUCUUGUAGGGUUGUGUGCGGGACGUAUACAAAACCCUAUUGGAAGAUGUCUAUUGGAAGAUAAUGAAAACAAUUUUGAAGGAUUUGUCCUCACGUAAGUGUAGAAUAUUAAGAUGCAGAAAAUCAGAAUGUAGUGAAGAGGGUGAUUCAAGAGGUGAAGAGUAUUGAGGCAAAUUAUUGGUAAGUCGCCUCGGUGUGCAUGCGCAAGCGAGCUGUCUGUGUAGACUGUGGAAGUAAAACUUCUGCAAAAUAAUGUAAAACUUCUGCUAAAUACAAUCUCUACUGAAAAUUUUAGACUUGGACUAUUUGGCAUCGAUCGUUUUUAAUAAUAAUCAUUCACAUUACCCACUCCCUGUGAUUAUGCCUGCAAUAUAAGUAGCUUAAUGUUAUGUAGCUCUGGCACCGCACAUCAGCAUCCACAAUGCUUUGUUGCGUUGGUAAUGUUUUUUGUGGUGAAUUCGUUCAAACUUUUAGUACUGUUGUACACCCAGGGGCGUUUCUAGAGAUUGAAGCAGGAGAGAUUGAAGCAGGAGGGUGCUCAAAAGUACAGAAAAAAAAAUGGAGCCGCGCGCGCGAUUUUACGCCCCCGCAUUUAUUGCGGCGUAUCUUUCAUACAUCCAGGUCCUCCCCCAUGCAGCCUUGCAGCAAAAAAGUACAGCACACUGCCCAAGAAAAGAGCGGCUCCUACUAUUCUCCUCUAGAGCUUCUCUCUUCCUAGCUACAAUAAUUUUUCUGUGUAUCUUCUUGUAAAUGACAAUAAAAUAAUUAUAAUGUAUAAUGUUGUAGUUUGAGUAAUCUAUAGUACCGGUACUAUAGCUCAUACUUCCCUGCUAAAUACACUCAAAUGGGAUCUAAUACAUGCAUAGCGUGAUAAUAAGACAUAAUUAUGAGUCAGUCAUCUCCAUGCACUAUUCUUCUGGGGUACAUCCUAGCAAACUGGUCAAUCACAAUGGGGAUGUCCAGUCAUUCUAGUGUUAGUCAUUGCUUCUCAGUAUCUCUCAGUGGAGCAAGAGGUGACUGGGAUAGUGCAGAGGAUCUAUUAUGCAUGCAAUUAACAACAUUGGAAUGGCAAUACUGAUUGCACAUGUGAUGACUUGUAAUCGUUUUGUAAUCGUUGUGUCAAUGAGAUAGAGCUGCACAGUUAGCUAGCUAGCUACUGAGUGAUACGAUUAGUUUCAUGGUUGUCUGGGAGGACAGGGGGGUGCUCAAGCCCCCCAUUGUACACGCCACUGUAACACCAAUCAAAACUUGAUAAAGACUCUCUUAAGGAAGAGUCUUAAGGAGAAAGGAGCCAAUCAAAGGCGUCUUAAUAGAGUCAAAAGGAAAUUGGAAUUGAGGAAGGCUUCUCAGCAACAUCAGUUUCCGAAGAACAAAAGAGUAAAAUCCUUGUGAAUGACUUUGUGUCAAGUGAAGAAAGUACCGUGGAAAGCUCUGGUGGGACUGUUCUUAAAGUUAAACCACUUCCAUGGCGAUGUGAAAAGAUCAAUCGUUUCUUUAAAAAACUACAGAACUAAAGCUAAGAGAAAACCAUCAAGGCAAUCCACCCAACAGACACUUGCGGGUGACACGUCAAGCAGACCAAAGCCUAUCAACUUUCCAAGUGAUUUUUGGGGAUUUGAACUCAACUGAAAACGAACCCGAAGAAAACUCAUCUCAAUUAUACUGUGAUGAUUUAUUAAACUCAUUCUGAAUAACUUUCCAAUGAAGAAAACCACAUUUAAUGAUUAUUUUUCAUUUCCAGCACAGAUAUUUCCAAUAAGGAUUCCUUAGUAAAUAAAUAUGCCCAUUCAUAGUUGGGUUCCAUGAGUGUUUCCAUUACAGUGUUUCCAUUAGAUUUCUAUUUGCAUUUCCAGUGUAUUAAUUAUGAUAUUUCCAAUAAUGAUUCCUUUGUUGAGAAAUAUGCUAAGUUUCUGGAUGCUUUAUAAUUAAUUGAUGAUUCUCUUUAACUUAAAUCCAUACGAAUUUCCAUAUUGUUUACAGAUUUUAGUAAGAAUUCCUGUGUAUGUCGUCGUCAUGA